ACGAACGCUGGCGGCGUGCUUAACACAUGCAAGUCGUACGGUAAGGCCCUUUCGGGGGUACACGAGUGGCGAACGGGUGAGUAACACGUGAGUAACCUGCCCACAACUUUGGGAUAACGCUAGGAAACUGGUGCUAAUACUGGAUAUGUGCUCCUGCUGCAUGGUGGGGGGUGGAAAGCUCCGGCGGUUGUGGAUGGACUCGCGGCCUAUCAGCUUGUUGGUGGGGUAGUGGCCUACCAAGGCGGCGACGGGUAGCCGGCCUGAGAGGGUGACCGGCCACAUUGGGACUGAGAUACGGCCCAGACUCCUACGGGAGGCAGCAGUGGGGAAUAUUGCACAAUGGGCGCAAGCCUGAUGCAGCAACGCCGCGUGCGGGAUGACGGCCUUCGGGUUGUAAACCGCUUUCAGCAGGGACGAAGCUUUUUGUGACGGUACCUGCAGAAGAAGCACCGGCUAACUACGUG
RNAcentral lists this ribosomal RNA (464 nucleotides) under uncultured bacterium. Its description in RNAcentral is "partial 16S ribosomal RNA". It matches the Rfam family "Bacterial small subunit ribosomal RNA", at positions 29 to 507 of the family's 1533-position model. The record is from RNAcentral.